This 253-nucleotide ribosomal RNA is filed under the name uncultured bacterium. RNAcentral's name for it is "partial 16S ribosomal RNA". It matches the Rfam family "Bacterial small subunit ribosomal RNA", at positions 524 to 776 of the family's 1533-position model. The record is from RNAcentral.
UACGUAGGGUGCAAGCGUUAAUCGGAAUUACUGGGCGUAAAGCGUGCGCAGGCGGUUUUGUAAGUCUGACGUGAAAUCCCCGGGCUUAACCUGGGAAUGGCGUUGGAGACUGCAAGGCUGGAAUCUGGCAGAGGGGGGUAGAAUUCCACGUGUAGCAGUGAAAUGCGUAGAGAUGUGGAGGAACACCGAUGGCGAAGGCAGCCCCCUGGGUCAAGAUUGACGCUCAUGCACGAAAGCGUGGGGAGCAAACAGG